Molecule: long non-coding RNA, 1381 nt
Organism: Micropterus dolomieu (smallmouth bass)
Lineage: Eukaryota; Metazoa; Chordata; Actinopteri; Centrarchiformes; Centrarchidae
Exons: 3
Source: RefSeq, a predicted model, not a curated record
UGAACACUGAGAUGAUAAUCCAGGUUAUUGUGACAUCUCCACAGCAAUUAAACAUGGAGUUAGAAUGGUCAAGAAUCAACUUUGAACCUCAACUUUUAAGCCAACAUGGAUGUGAAGUUCCUAAAAUGCUCCAAAUAAUGCAAAUUUGAACAUCAACACUUGAUUGUGCCAGAACAGCUACUAAAUGGACCUUGUGGUAAUUGUUCACUCUGCAACCAGAUCACUGUACUGAUUCCCCCCCCCCAGUGCGUGAGGUGAGAAUGGCUGAUUUCCCCUCUUCUCCACGACUGAGUAACUUCUUAUGCAAACAGUACCCCUGGUUUCUAUGGCAAUUGAGGACAACAGGCCUCCAAGCUUUCCAGCAGCCUGGUUUGUUGAUUCUGAGGGAACUAGGAAGAACUGAUGCGUUGCAAUUAGGAUAAAAUUUUCAUUUUGUUUGUUUUCAUGACCUUCAGGACUGGAAAUGUAACUACUGUUACUACUGCUUACAGGCCUGAAAUGCUGGUGGAGUAUAUUCAACAUGAUCUUUUCUGGCAUGCUAUAUUCCCCCAUGUUUAAUGGCCAAUAUUAAAACAAAUUACAGUAUUUUAAAUGUGCGUUAUUGUACAUGAGCAUAUGUGUAUUAGUUUAACUUCAAAUUCCCAGUUACCUAAUUGUAUACAAUAGGAUAAUGAGUUUUGCAAAAUCAAAGGUCAGUAGUAAUAUUUUGAAUUCACUACUACAGUGUUCUUCCAUAAUGUGCCCAUGUGCAGUAUGUAGAGGGUCAGGAGUAUGCAGGCUCACAUUCCUAGCAAACUAUAGAAUUUGAUUUUUGAUACUGAUUAGUUUCUCUGAGCUAUCUGUGAAUCGCUGGGUGGAAGAAUAAAACCUGCUCACACACACUGCUUAGGAUCACUCCAGUAGAGAGUGAGUUUAUUCCAUGAUAACAAUCACUUUAUGAACACAUUCACAGUUCACAGGCAAGAAGAGAGAUCCCUCUUCUGUUUUGUUCUGUUUUUCUCCAUUAAAGUUCAAUAUUAUGAUUAGACUCGAAGAUAAAUACCACUCUCAUGCCUGUAUGACAAAUGUAAGGCUACAGCCAGCAGGUACUUAGGGUAGCAUAAAGUGACUUCCUGGAGUACUGUCGUUUACAACACAGACAUUACAGUAUCAUCGUUCUGAUCUAACUCUCAGUAAGACAGUGAAGAAGCGCAUUUGUUUUUUCUUAUCCAAAGUGAGUGGAGGGUAUCAUAUGCUAUACAGAUUGUAAAUCUUUCAGCAUUCAGCCACAGUUCUAAUAGUUUACAGUGUAGAGAUAAACAGGAAAUGUGGGGAGAGAGAUGGGAUGAGCAAAUCUGUUAUGAGUGAUUUUGUGCUGUAUGAAUUAAAGACUUGACUGUCA